CAUUCUCUGGGCAAUCAUAUGGAGCAAAGCAAUAUCAUAUGCUGGGCAUACACAUGCAGAAAGCCAUGUUUGUUCUUCUACUAGUUAGCAUACCACUUGCUCUCAUCUGGGCUUGCACGAGACCUAUUCUAAUUGCUUUUGGCCAAGAUGAAGCCAUAUCAGAGGAAGCUGGAACAUACGCUUGUUUCAUGAUCCCUAGCCUAUUCGCAUAUGGCCUGCUUCAAUGCCUUAAUAAAUUCCUACAGACUCAGAAUAUCGUAUUCCCAAUGAUGAUAUGCUCAGGAAUUACGGCCUUGCUUCACAUCCUGGUGUGUUGGAUUCUAGUAUUCAAAUCCGGGCUUGAAAGUAUGGGAGCUGCUUUGGCAAAUUCAAUCUCUUAUUGGAUCAAUGUAUUGUUGUUGGCUCUUUAUGUCAAAUUCUCUCCUUCCUGUGCAAAAACUUGGGCAGGCUUCUCAAAGGAAGCCUUACAAAAUAUCCUUAGUUUCGUGAAGCUUGCAAUCCCUUCGGCUG
This 510-nucleotide unclassified non-coding RNA is filed under the name Hevea brasiliensis (rubber tree). The record is from RNAcentral. Lineage: Eukaryota; Viridiplantae; Streptophyta; Magnoliopsida; Malpighiales; Euphorbiaceae.